Molecule: transfer RNA, 73 nt
Filed under: Dichanthelium oligosanthes
Lineage: Eukaryota; Viridiplantae; Streptophyta; Magnoliopsida; Poales; Poaceae
Rfam family: tRNA
About the family: Transfer RNA (tRNA) molecules are approximately 80 nucleotides in length. Their secondary structure includes four short double-helical elements and three loops (D, anti-codon, and T loops).
Source: Rfam by way of RNAcentral
GCCCGUCUAGCUCAGUCGGUAGAGCGCAUUUUUUUUUUCCUUGUGGUCGUGGGUUCGAGCCCCACGGUGGGCG